RNAcentral lists this ribosomal RNA (459 nucleotides) under uncultured bacterium. RNAcentral's name for it is "partial 16S ribosomal RNA". It matches the Rfam family "Bacterial small subunit ribosomal RNA", at positions 338 to 795 of the family's 1533-position model. The record is from RNAcentral.
CCUACGGGAGGUAGCAGUGAGGAAUAUUGGUCAAUGGGCGCGAGCCUGAACCAGCCAAGUAGCGUGAAGGAUGACUGCCCUACGGGUUGUAAACUUCUUUUAUAAAGGAAUAAAGUGAGGCACGUGUGCCUUUUUGUAUGUACUUUAUGAAGAAGGAUCGGCUAACUCCGUGCCAGCAGCCGCGGUAAUACGGAGGAUGCGAGCGUUAUCCGGAUUUAUUGGGUUUAAAGGGUGCGUAGGCGGGAUGCCAAGUACGCGGUAAAAAUGCGGUGCUAAACGCCGUCGAGCCGUUGAAACUGGCGUUCUUGAGUGGGCGAGAAGUAUGCGGAAUGCAUGGUGUAGCGGUGAAAUGCAUAGAUAUCACGCAGAACUCCGAUUGCGAAGGCAGCAUACCGGCGCCCUACUGACGCUGAGGCACGAAAGCGUGGGUAUCGAACAGGAUUAGAUACCCCAGUAGUC